GACCAGGGGCGACACGGCGGAGGAAGAGCCCGGUUUCAGCCGCGUGGGCCUGGGCGCUGCUCCCGCUGGGAGGACCGGAGCUGCUGCGCUUGCAGCUUGCAACUUGGCGCCUCCUCACUCGCGAAUUUAGGAUUGUUUCUGGGGAGAAAUCUGACAGAAAUCCAGAGACAAGGGAGAUGCGUUCAGCUGGGACAUGAAUACACUAAAUACUAAGUAUCAGGACCUUCUGGGACAAUGAGCCGGGGACCCACUUUCAGAGCCAUAUUGGAACCACAGCCUGAGACAUCCUGGUUGCUUCCAAGUUUGGGAAAUUAUGAAUAAAGCUGCUGUGAACACCUAUGUGCAGGUUUUUGUGUGGCUAAAACUUUUCAGCUCUUUGGAAUGUAGUUGUAUAUUUUCGUUGUGGGUCCUUCUGGUUGUGCUAUGUGGGAUGCCACCUCAAUGUGGCCUGACGAGCGGCGCCAUGUCCAUGCCCAGGAUCCGAACCAGCGAAACCCUGGGCUGCCAAAGCAGAGCACGCGAACUUAACCACUCGGCCACGGGGCCAGCCCCCAUAGUUGUGGUAUGUGGGACGCUGCCUCAGCGUGGUCUGACGAGCAGUGCCAUGUCCGCGCCCAGGAUUCGAACCAACGAAACACUGGGACACCUGCAGCGGAGCGCGCGAACUUAACCACUCGGCCACGGGGCCAGCCCCCUAAGUCAGCACCUUUCUGAUACCUACUAUGGGGCUUUAAGAAUGGUUAGUGGUUACUUUGGGGGGGGCAUACUGAGUAGGAGGGACAUGGGGAGCCAGCUAGGCAGCUGGAGAUGACCUGAAC
Molecule: long non-coding RNA, 818 nt
Filed under: Equus asinus (donkey)
Lineage: Eukaryota; Metazoa; Chordata; Mammalia; Perissodactyla; Equidae
Description: lncRNA (ENSEASG00005035889.1)
Source: RNAcentral